This 560-nucleotide ribosomal RNA is filed under the name Billgrantia desiderata. RNAcentral's name for it is "bacterial SSU rRNA". It matches the Rfam family "Bacterial small subunit ribosomal RNA", at positions 138 to 692 of the family's 1533-position model. Lineage: Bacteria; Pseudomonadati; Pseudomonadota; Gammaproteobacteria; Oceanospirillales; Halomonadaceae. The record is from RNAcentral.
GGGGGAUAACCUGGGGAAACCCAGGCUAAUACGGUUUACGCCCUACGGGAGAAAGCAGGGGCUCUUCGGACCUUGCGCUAUCGGAUGAGCCUAUGUCGGAUUACCUGGUUGGUGAGGUAAUGGCUCACCAAGGCGACGAUCCGUAGCUGGUCUGAGAGGAUGGGAAGCCACAUCGCCUAUGAGACACGGCCCGAACUCCUACGGGAGGCAGCAGUGGGGAAUAUUGGACAAUGGGCGCAAGCCUGAUCCAGCCAUGCCGCGUGUGUGAAGAAGGCCCUCGGGUUGUAAAGCACUUUCAGUGGGGAAGAACGCCUUCCGGCUAAUACCCGGGAGGAAAGACAUCACCCACAGAAGAAGCACCGGCUAACUCCGUGCCAGCAGCCGCGGUAAUACGGAGGGUGCGAGCGUUAAUCGGAAUUACUGGGCGUAAAGCGCGCGUAGGGGGCGUGAUAAGCCGGUUUGUGAAAGCCCCGGGCUCAACCUGGGAACGGCAUCCGGAACUGUCAGGCUAGAGUGCAGGAGAGGAAGGUAGAAUUCCCGGUGUAGCGGUGAAAUGCGUA